This 722-nucleotide ribosomal RNA is filed under the name Pseudomonas gessardii. RNAcentral describes it as "bacterial SSU rRNA". It matches the Rfam family "Bacterial small subunit ribosomal RNA", at positions 96 to 811 of the family's 1533-position model. Lineage: Bacteria; Pseudomonadati; Pseudomonadota; Gammaproteobacteria; Pseudomonadales; Pseudomonadaceae. The record is from RNAcentral.
CGGCGGACGGGNUGAGUAAUGCCUANCGAAUCUGCCUGGUAGUGGGGGAUAACGUUCGGAAACGGACGCUAAUACCGCAUACGUCCUACGGGAGAAAGCAGGGGACCUUCGGGCCUUGCGCUAUCAGAUGAGCCUAGGUCGGAUUAGCUAGUUGGUGGGGUAAUGGCUCACCAAGGCGACGAUCCGUAACUGGUCUGAGAGGAUGAUCAAUCACACUGGAACUGAGACACGGUCCANACUCCUACGGNAGGCAGCAGUGGGGAAUAUUGGACAAUGNNCGAAAGCCUGAUCCAGCCAUGCCGCGUGUGUGAAGAAGGUCUUCGGAUUGUAAAGCCACUUUAAGUUGGGAGGAAGGGUUGUAGAUUAAUACUCUGCAAUUUUGACGUUACCGACAGAAUAAGCACCGGCUAACUCUGUGCCAGCAGCCGCGGUAAUACAGAGGGUGCAAGCGUUAAUCGGAAUUACUGGGCGUAAAGCGCGCGUAGGUGGUUAGUUAAGUUGGAUGUGAAAUCCCCGGGCUCAACCUGGGAACUGCAUUCAAAACUGACUGACUAGAGUAUGGUAGAGGGUGGUGGAAUUUCCUGUGUAGCGGUGAAAUGCGUANAUAUAGGAAGGAACACCAGUGGCGAAGGCGACCACCUGGACUGAUACUGACACUGAGGUGCGAAAGCGUGGGGAGCAAACAGGAUUANAUACCCUGGUAGUCCACGCCGUAAACGAUG